GAUCGGCCCGCGUCUGAUUAGCUUGUUGGUGAGGUAAUGGCUCACCAAGGCGAUGAUCGAUAGCUGGUCUGAGAGGAUGAUCGGCCACAUUGGGACUGAGACACGGCCCAAACUCCUACGGGAGGCAGCAGUGGGGAAUAUUGGACAAUGGGCGCAAGCCUGAUCCAGCCAUGCCGCGUGAGUGAUGAAGGCCUUAGGGUUGUAAAGCUCUUUCGCUCGGGACGAUAAUGACGGUACCGAGAUAAGAAGCCCCGGCUAACUUCGUGCCAGCAGCCGCGGUAAUACGAAGGGGGCUAGCGUUGUUCGGAAUUACUGGGCGUAAAGCGCGUGUAGGCGGGUCUUUAAGUCAGGGGUGAAAUGCCAAGGCUCAACCUUGGAACUGCCUUUGAUACUGGAGAUCUUGAGUCCGGGAGAGGUGAGUGGAAUUGCGAGUGUAGAGGUGAAAUUCGUAAAUAUUCGCAAGAACACCAGUGGCGAAGGCGGCUCACUGGCCCGGAACUGACGCUGAAAACCCAAAGCGUGGGGAGCAAACAGGAAUUAGAUACCCUGGUAGUCCCCGCUGUAAACGAUGGAUGCUAACCGUUGGGGGAGCUUGCUCUUUCAGGGGCGCAACCAACGCUUUUAGCCUCCCCCCCUGGGG
RNAcentral lists this ribosomal RNA (640 nucleotides) under uncultured Alphaproteobacteria bacterium. RNAcentral describes it as "bacterial SSU rRNA". It matches the Rfam family "Bacterial small subunit ribosomal RNA", at positions 224 to 878 of the family's 1533-position model. Lineage: Bacteria; Pseudomonadati; Pseudomonadota; Alphaproteobacteria. The record is from RNAcentral.